RNAcentral lists this transfer RNA (76 nucleotides) under Alphaproteobacteria bacterium. RNAcentral describes it as "tRNA-Thr". It matches the Rfam family "tRNA". Rfam says of the family: Transfer RNA (tRNA) molecules are approximately 80 nucleotides in length. Their secondary structure includes four short double-helical elements and three loops (D, anti-codon, and T loops). Further hydrogen bonds mediate the characteristic L-shaped molecular structure. tRNAs have two regions of fundamental functional importance: the anti-codon, which is responsible for specific mRNA codon recognition, and the 3' end, to which the tRNAs corresponding amino acid is attached (by aminoacyl-tRNA synthetases). tRNAs cope with the degeneracy of the genetic code in two manners: having more than one tRNA (with a specific anti-codon) for a particular amino acid; and 'wobble' base-pairing, i.e. permitting non-standard base-pairing at the 3rd anti-codon position. The record is from RNAcentral. Lineage: Bacteria; Pseudomonadati; Pseudomonadota; Alphaproteobacteria.
GCUGGAUUAGCUCAGUUGGUAGAGCAACUGAUUUGUAAUCAGUACGUCGUCAGUUCGAAUCUGACAUUCAGCUCCA